UGGAUUCACCAAAAAAAAAAAAAACAAAAACAAAACGAUAAAUGUUCCAAUGAAAUUAUUGUUCAACAUAUAGACAAAAGAACCAUAUCAUUAUGUUGUUCAUUCAUUCGAAUGAAUUCAAAGUGCAACAACCAAUAAAUGUCAAUUGGUGGCUUUUUUUGAGUAGUGUAAAAUUUUCGUUCCAGGAGAAAAAAAAACCCGAAACUAAAUCGUUGAACAGAAAUAGGAAUAGUUUUGUAAAUUAUUCCCAAAUGUGCCAUCAAACCAUCAAAUUGGUCAUCAAAUGAUGAUGACCAGACACAUCAGAUUCAAAAUCAUCACCAGAUUCAUAAUGAUCUUUGAACAAAACACAAAAUGUCGAGAACAAAUCGAAUUUGGGUUUUGAUCAUCAUCAUCAUGUGAUUUUCUGUAAAAUUUUUUUCUUCACCAAUCGCU
Molecule: non-coding RNA, 435 nt
Organism: Dermatophagoides farinae (American house dust mite)
Lineage: Eukaryota; Metazoa; Arthropoda; Arachnida; Sarcoptiformes; Pyroglyphidae
Source: RefSeq, a predicted model, not a curated record